Molecule: non-coding RNA, 101 nt
Organism: Vicugna pacos (alpaca)
Lineage: Eukaryota; Metazoa; Chordata; Mammalia; Artiodactyla; Camelidae
Source: RefSeq, a predicted model, not a curated record
GCGGUCUUUCAGUGUUCAAAAGGGUAAGAAUAAUAACAUUAAAUGACUUCUCUAGUUUUAAGUCCAUCAAAGAAAAAGGAUUCAGAGAUCGGCAGAGCACA